This 254-nucleotide ribosomal RNA is filed under the name uncultured bacterium. RNAcentral's name for it is "partial 16S ribosomal RNA". It matches the Rfam family "Bacterial small subunit ribosomal RNA", at positions 524 to 776 of the family's 1533-position model. The record is from RNAcentral.
UACGUAGGGUGCAAGCGUUGUCCGGAUUUACUGGGUUUAAAGGGUGCGUAGGCGGGCUUUUAAGUCGGCGAUGAAAUGGGGGCGCUCAACGCCACCCGCUGUUUCCGAUACUGAAAGUCUUGAGAGCGGAUGAGGCGGCUGGAAUGAGCGGUGUAGCGGUGAAAUGCGUAGAGAUCGCUCAGAACACCGAUUGCGAAGGCAGGUCGCCGGGCCGCAUCUGACGCUGAGGCACGAAAGCGUGGGGAUCAAACAGG